UGGGGAAUAUUGCACAAUGGGCGCAAGCCUGAUGCAGCCAUGCCGCGUGUAUGAAGAAGGCCUUCGGGUUGUAAAGUACUUUCAGCGGGGAGGAAGGCGAUAAGGUUAAUAACCUUGUCGAUUGACGUUACCCGCAGAAGAAGCACCGGCUAACUCCGUGCCAGCAGCCGCGGUAAUACGGAGGGUGCAAGCGUUAAUCGGAAUUACUGGGCGUAAAGCGCACGCAGGCGGUUUGUCAAGUCGGAUGUGAAAGCCCCGGGCUCAACCUGGGAACUGCAUUCGAAACUGGCAGGCUAGAGUCUUGUAGAGGGGGGUAGAAUUCCAGGUGUAGCGGUGAAAUGCGUAGAGAUCUGGAGGAAUACCGGUGGCGAAGGCGGCCCCCUGGACAAAGACUGACGCUCAGGUGCGAAAGCGUGGGGAGCAAACA
RNAcentral lists this ribosomal RNA (427 nucleotides) under uncultured bacterium. Its description in RNAcentral is "partial 16S ribosomal RNA". It matches the Rfam family "Bacterial small subunit ribosomal RNA", at positions 355 to 774 of the family's 1533-position model. The record is from RNAcentral.